Molecule: transfer RNA, 76 nt
Filed under: Acidihalobacter prosperus
Lineage: Bacteria; Pseudomonadati; Pseudomonadota; Gammaproteobacteria; Chromatiales; Ectothiorhodospiraceae
Also listed under: 11 other names
Description: tRNA-Phe
Rfam family: tRNA
About the family: Transfer RNA (tRNA) molecules are approximately 80 nucleotides in length.
Source: RNAcentral
GGCCAGGUAGCUCAGUUGGUAGAGCAGGGGAUUGAAAAUCCCCGUGUCGGCAGUUCGAUUCUGUCCCUGGCCACCA